Molecule: ribosomal RNA, 494 nt
Filed under: uncultured bacterium
Lineage: Bacteria
Description: partial 16S ribosomal RNA
Rfam family: Bacterial small subunit ribosomal RNA
Source: RNAcentral
GACGAACGCUGGCGGCGUGCUUAACACAUGCAAGUCGAACGGUGAAGCGCCUUCCUUUUUGGUGGGUGUGGAUGGGUGGCGAACGGGUGAGUAACACGUGAGUAACCUGCCCCCUUCUUCUGGAUAACCGCAUGAAAGUGUGGCUAAUACGGGAUAUUCUGGGUCUGUCGCAUGAUGGGUCUGGGACAGAUAUUGUUUCGGUGGGGGAUGGGCUCGCGGCCUAUCAGCUUGUUGGUGGGGUGAUGGCCUACCAAGGCGGUGACGGGUAGCCGGCCUGAGAGGGUGGACGGCCACACUGGGAAGGAGACACGGCGCAGACUACGACGGGAGGCAGCAGGGGGGAAUAUUGCACAAUGGGAGGAAGGCUGAUGCAGCGACGCCGCGUGAGGGAUGGAGGCCUUCGGGUUGUGAACCUCUUUCGCCAGUGAAGCAGGCCUGCCUCGUUUGUGGGUGGGUUGACGGUAGCUGGAUAAGAAGCGCCGGCUAACUACGUG